Molecule: ribosomal RNA, 500 nt
Filed under: uncultured Glomeromycotina
Lineage: Eukaryota; Fungi; Glomeromycota
Description: partial small subunit ribosomal RNA
Rfam family: Eukaryotic small subunit ribosomal RNA
Source: RNAcentral
CCAAUAGCGUAUAUUAAAGUUGUUGCAGUUAAAAAGCUCGUAGUUGAAUUUCGGGAUCAUCAGGUUGGUCGUGCCUCUGGUAUGUACUGAUUUCGAUGGUUCCUCCUUCUUGAAGAACCGUAAUGCCAUUAAUUUGGUGUUGCGGGGAAUCAGGACUGUUACUUUGAAAAAAUUAGAGUGUUUAAAGCAGGCAAUCGCUUGAAUACAUUAGCAUGGAAUAAUGAAAUAGGACGUUCGAUCCUAUUUUGUUGGUUUCUAGGAUUGACGUAAUGAUUAAUAGGGAUAGUUGGGGGCAUUAGUAUUCAAUUGUCAGAGGUGAAAUUCUUGGAUUUAUUGAAGACUAACUACUGCGAAAGCAUUUGCCAAGGAUGUUUUCAUUAAUCAAGAACGAAAGUUAGGGGAUCGAAGACGAUCAGAUACCGUCGUAGUCUUAACCAUAAACUAUGCCGACUAGGGAUCGGAUGAUGUUAAUUUUUUAAUGACUCAUUCGGCGCCUUACG